CCAGGCAGCCGGAGGGCCGCCGUCGGGUUUUCCCGAUGGAGGAACUUCCGAACUCCACAGAGCGGGACGCCCGUCGAAAGGCGGGGAGGCGGGGACCACAUGCCCCGUCGACGGAAAGUGCCACAGAGACAAACCGCCCGGCGCGAGCCGGGCAAGGGUGAAAAGGUGGGGCAAGAGCCCACCGCGCGGUCCGCGAGGGCCGCGGCCAGGCAAACCCCGUCCGGAGCAAGGCAGUGUUGGAGGCUUGGGCGGCUCGCCCGUCCCGCGAGAGCGGGAGGCCUCCCGGUAGCCGCAUAGAGAAAUGGCCCUCCAGCCGGGCGCAGGCCCGGUGGACAGAAUUCGGGGUACAGGCUGCCUCGGGUC
This 363-nucleotide RNase P RNA is filed under the name Elusimicrobiota bacterium. Its description in RNAcentral is "Elusimicrobia bacterium RNase P RNA component class A". It matches the Rfam family "Bacterial RNase P class A". From Rfam's summary of the family: Ribonuclease P (RNase P) is a ubiquitous endoribonuclease, found in archaea, bacteria and eukarya as well as chloroplasts and mitochondria. Its best characterised activity is the generation of mature 5'-ends of tRNAs by cleaving the 5'-leader elements of precursor-tRNAs. Lineage: Bacteria; Pseudomonadati; Elusimicrobiota. The record is from RNAcentral.